This 523-nucleotide ribosomal RNA is filed under the name uncultured bacterium. RNAcentral's name for it is "bacterial SSU rRNA". It matches the Rfam family "Bacterial small subunit ribosomal RNA", at positions 28 to 520 of the family's 1533-position model. The record is from RNAcentral.
GACGAACGCUGGCGGCGUGCUCCACUACAUGUCAGUCGAACGCUUUUGUUUUCACCGGAGCUUGCUCCACCGAAAACAAAAGAGUGGCGGACGGGUGAGUAACACGUGGGUAACCUGCCCUCAAGCGGGGGAUAACACUUGGAAACAGGUGCUAAUACCGCAUAACAAUCAGAAUCGCAUGGUUUUGAUUUGAAAGGCGCUUUUGCGUCACUUGAGUGAUGGACCCGCGGUGCAUUAGCUAGUUGGUGAGGUAACGGCUCACCAAGGCCACGAUGCAUAGCCGACCUGAGAGGGUGAUCGGCCACACUGGGACUGAGACACGGCCCAGACUCCUACGGGAGGCAGCAGUAGGGAAUCUUCGGCAAUGGACGAAAGUCUGACCGAGCAACGCCGCGUGAGUGAAGAAGGUUUUCGGAUCGUAAAACUCUGUUGUUAGAGAAGAACAAGGGUGAGAGUAGAAUGUUCACCCCUUGACGGUAUCUAACCAGAACGCCACGGCUAACUACGUGCCAGCAGACCGCGG